AUGUAAUAUCUCUAGCCUGACUACCCUCCAACCAAACAUUAACUUCUACUCCCCUUAAUUAAAUUAAAACAUUUUAAAUAUUAAGUAUAUGAGAUAAAAAAAUAUCCAGAGCUAUAGCUAAAGUACCGUAAGGGAAAGAUGAAAUAGAAAUGAAAUAACCUCACACACCAAAAACCAGAGAUCUCACCUCGUACCUUUGCAUCAUGGCCUAACAAGUCUAAUCAGCCAAACGGAAUUUAGUCUGACCUCCGCAACUAAGUGAGCUACUCCGGGGCUACUUGAUGUUAAACCCGUCUCUGUAGCAAAAGAGUGGGGAGACCCCCGAGUAGAGGCAACAAACCUAUCGAACUUAGUAAUAGCUGGUUGCUUAGGAAAAGGAUUUAAGUUCUUUCUUAAAAAUAUAUUAGCAAAACUAAGCAAACUCAAUUUUUAAGAACUAUUCAAUAAAGGUCCAGCUUUAUUGAAAAAGGAGACAACCUAAAAUUUAGGAUAAUGAUUAUACCCUUAUAGGUUAAAGGCUAAGUUGGCCUAAAAGCAGCUAUCUUUAAAAAAGCGUCAAAGCUUCACCUUAAGAAUACCUUAAAUCUCAUUACACUAUCAAAAUCCAUCAUUACUACUAAGCUAUUCUAUAUCUUUAUAGAAAAAUUUAUGUUAGGACUAGUAACACAGAAUUAUUUCUCUUAUAUGUAAGCUUAAAUCAACCCGAAUAUCUCCUUGAUAAUUAUUCAACUUUGAUCCUAGAGUAACACCAUUUUACUUACAAAAACCCUACUCAAUUUAUUGUUAACCAAACACUUGAACAUAAAAGAAAGAUAAAAGAAUUAAGAAGGAACUCGGCAAACACAAGUCCCGCCUGUUUACCAAAAACAUCGCCUUUUGAAUAAUAUAAAAGGUAACGCCUGCCCAGUGACACUAUGUUUAACGGCCGCGGUAUUCUGACCGUGCGAAGGUAGCGUAAUCAUUUGUCUUUUAAAUGGAGACUUGUAUGAAAGGCAUCACGAGGACUUAACUGUCUCCUUAAUUAAUCAGUGAAACUGAUCCCCCCGUAAAAAAGCAGGGAUAAAACCAUAAGACGAGAAGACCCUAUGGAGCUUAAAACAAUAAACUACUUGUAUAAUCUGCUAUUAAAUACCACUAAAAUACAAAUCUAGCCUAAGUUUUCUGUUGGGGCGACUGUGGAGAAAAACUCAUCCUCCAUGAAGAAUAAACUUUGAGCUACCACUCUUAGUAUUAGCAAGCCUAACUUAAAUUGAUCCAAUAUUUGAUCAACGGACCAAGUUACCCUAGGGAUAACAGCGCAAUCUAUUUCAAGAGUCCCUAUCGACAAAUAGGUUUACGACCUCGAUGUUGGAUUAGGACAUCCUAGUGGUGUAGCCGCUACUAAC
This 1385-nucleotide ribosomal RNA is filed under the name Leptobrachium hasseltii (Java spadefoot toad). RNAcentral's name for it is "partial 16S rRNA". It matches the Rfam family "Bacterial large subunit ribosomal RNA", at positions 361 to 2569 of the family's 2925-position model. The record is from RNAcentral. Lineage: Eukaryota; Metazoa; Chordata; Amphibia; Anura; Megophryidae.